This 1198-nucleotide long non-coding RNA is filed under the name Androctonus crassicauda. The record is from RNAcentral. Lineage: Eukaryota; Metazoa; Arthropoda; Arachnida; Scorpiones; Buthidae.
AUUACAAUAAAUACAUAUAUUGAGAUGCUUGUUACAGUACAAAUACUGUAACAAGUAUCUCAAUAUAUGCCCAGAAGCAUUACUCCUCCAAAAUUAAGAAGCAAUAAAUUUAUCAUACCUGUCACUAAAUUUUUGCUGCUUUUGUCUUGCACAGUUGGCAAUAUGCAAACAGAGUGGUAAAAAACCUAGUGCAGUCUCUGUGUUGCUAAAAACUUGAAAAUUGGCAAGAUAGAAGUUAGGACUACAGAAAUGAAAUGAAUCAGCUAUGUGGUAGAUUGCUUAGAAAUUGUUUAAACAUGUCUAUUGCCAGAAUGUUCCUCAGACACUACAAAGAAACAGAUUCUAUUGCACCUGGAUACAGCAAUAGUAAACUGUCAAUGACUACUAUCAGGGAAGAUUGAAUUUUGCAUUGCCUUAUUGUGAAAUAUUGAUGUGGUACAUUUGUGGAAGCUGCAGAACUGUGAACAAAUGCAUAGACUAACCUGUAUUUUGAUGAACUGCUAGUAACAGAUUAUAUGUAAACAAUGUUGAUGCCAGUUCAGCAGAAAAAUGGUUUAAUUGGCCAGGUGACUACCUGUCCUAGACAGAAGAUCAAUGUUGGAGAAUAAUUUGGCUCUGUACAGGAAUGAGAUGUUGUCUUUCCAGAUCCUAUAUGAAAUGAAAUAUUUGUUCAAAACUUUGUGAAGCAAGAAGUCAAGUUCCCAGAUACUAUAUAGUUAUGAAGUGUUUUGAUAUUAUGGCAUUGGUGAUUUGAUUCCAUAUUAUAAGAUUAUCAAACCUAAUGCUAACAGGCAAUUUUGCAAUAUCAUUUCCUGCCUUCCAUGGCCUGGAAAUGUUCUUGCAAAUCUUUAUCUGCAGGGAGAUGCAAUUUUCUAACAAGAUCUCAUCAAGCCACAUAUUAUAUGAUCCACCAUUGUUUGAUUUCCCCAAAAAUUGAGUCCAAAUCUUACAAGGGAUCCCAAAUUUUUCCACUCUCAAUCCAAUUGAGGAUCUGUGAUGUGUCUUCAAGAAAGGAAUAUGAAAAUGCAAGCCCCAAGCAAAAGAUCAGCUGAAGAUGGUUCUUCAAGAAAUAUGGGCCAAUAUUCCAUAAAAUCUUUGUCAUGCCUACAUCAAAUCAAUACCUAAAUGAAUUGCUGAUAUGUAUGCUGUAAAAAAGAGAACCCAUGAAAUGGUUAUUGUUUGCAAUAGCUAGAUUCAC